Long non-coding RNA from Phyllostomus discolor (pale spear-nosed bat), 1535 nucleotides. RefSeq lists it as uncharacterized. Lineage: Eukaryota; Metazoa; Chordata; Mammalia; Chiroptera; Phyllostomidae. The record is from RefSeq and is a predicted model, not a curated record. The transcript has 3 exons.
UAACCUGCUAUUUUGCUAUUUACACCUGACCAAUCUUCUGCUCACUCAGUCCUCAAAGAUAUGAAUCUGUGCUUGCCUGUUUGAAUGGUUUAGCAGAGCUCCUAAACUCUGUCUCUGUCUAAUCCCUUGUCCAUUAAAAUCAAGGUAGUAGUUUUCAUUCAUUCAUUCAUUCAUUCACUCACCAUCCAUCCAUCCAUCUGUCCGUCUGUCCACGUAGCACUUGUACCUUAUAAGGUAAGGAAGACAGAGUAACAUAGUGAUAAGAACUUGGAGCUAGGCAGAGCUGGUUAAUUUGUAUCCUCCUUGUACUGCAGGUUAAAUUCUCUGAGCCUCAGUUUCCUCAUUGGUAAAAUGGGCAUAAUGAAAACUACUACCUAAUAGUAUUGUUGAGUGAAGGAAAAGGGAGGCACAUACUAAACCUUACAGGUUCAAGGGAGGCCUGGGUGGCAGGUCUUACAAACUGAGAGACAGAAAAAAACCACACUGAAUGGUCUCAGCAUAAAAACUCCUGACCAAAAGUGAGUCCUAGGACUUGGAGGGAAGUCACGUCCUUGGCCUGUAGAUUCCUUGACAAAGGUCAAUCUUUACCUAAGGUGAGCCUGUUUGUUUUGUUUUGUUUGUUUGUUUUGCAUCUAAGAUAACAUGCCUUUUAAAUGUCAGAAUAGUCUUUUAUCCACCCUUCAGGACAACCCCACCUCAUCAGAGCAGGAGAUCACAGAACCCCUCAUUGGUAUCUUGUUUUCAAAUACCAUCUCUGGGUGCUGUAAAUGUUAAUUAUUAACUAUCCUGUGCCCACCAGUGUAAAAGAAGUGUGUGUCUUUUUGUUUUAGUUUUUAUCCAAUCCCAGAGAUUUCCCAGCUUUGCUUUCUCCUGCCUCCUUAAUCUACCACCAGUGAAUUCCACGUAACUCUCCUUAUGUCUCCUUCUUUUACUCUAAUGUAUAAAAUAAGCUGCAAAAUUACCAUUCUCCAGAGCAUUUUCCCAGUCCCUUGAGAUUUUGCUUCGCAGCAAUUGUUGUCAGUUUGGCUCACAUAAACUCGUAACAAUUCUGUAUAGGUUUGGAUGUUUCUUACCUGGACAGUUGUAAGGAUUAAAAGGAUGAUGUGGUAAGUGCUUAAAAGUCACUUUUUAUAGUUAUUUCAGACCCUGCUGCAGAAAAAAGAACCUAAAAAAAAGCAGGUGACUCCAGGCCAGGACUUGCAGGGAAAGCUGCUCUGUACUCUUGCACAGCCUAAACCACAGGGCCUGGGCCUGGGGGGGUGGGCAUGAAUGAACAGAUAAGAACCUCUUGUGACUACACCCAUCCAUUUCUAUUCAGUCACUUUGCAAAGUUCUCCAAACCAGUCCUUUCUUUUACAUGCAUCAAAUAGCUCCCUCCCCACACUCAAUGCUAUAUAUACCAAGAAUCGAUUCAGAAAUAAUUUCUAUUUCCAAGGUUAGACCAGAAAUAAACUUCAAGCUGUAGCUUGAAUAAAAUCCAAUUUUAGUGGAAACUGAAUGAAGUUUUUAGAGAUUUUAUUUAUUUAUUUUUAGAG